CCUACGGGAGGCAGCAGUGGGGAAUAUUGGACAAUGGACGCAAGCCUGAUCCAGCAAUGCCGCGUGAGUGAUGAAGGCCUUAGGGUCGUAAAGCUCUUUUACCAGGGAUGAUAAUGACAGUACCUGGAGAAUAAGCUCCGGCUAACUCCGUGCCAGCAGCCGCGGUAAUACGGAGGGAGCUAGCGUUGUUCGGAAUUACUGGGCGUAAAGCGUACGUAGGCGGUUAUUCAAGUCAGAGGUGAAAGCCCGGGGCUCAACCCCGGAACGGCCUUUGAAACUAGGUAGCUAGAAUCUUGGAGAGGUCAGUGGAAUUCCGAGUGUAGAGGUGAAAUUCGUAGAUAUUCGGAAGAACACCAGUGGCGAAGGCGACUGACUGGACAAGUAUUGACGCUGAGGUACGAAAGCGUGGGGAGCAAACAGGAUUAGAUACCCUGGUAGUCCACGCCGUAAACGAUGAUAACUAGCUGUUCGGGCACUUGGUGCUUGAGUGGCGCAGCUAACGCAUUAAGUUAUCCGCCUGGGGAGUACGGUCGCAAGAUUAAAACUCAAAUGAAUUGACGG
This 561-nucleotide ribosomal RNA is filed under the name uncultured bacterium. Its description in RNAcentral is "bacterial SSU rRNA". It matches the Rfam family "Bacterial small subunit ribosomal RNA", at positions 338 to 916 of the family's 1533-position model. The record is from RNAcentral.